UCUACGUAGCAGAGUUUGAUCAUGGCUCAGGACGAACGCUGGCGGCGUGCUUAACACAUGCAAGUCGAACGGUGAAGCCCUUCGGGGUGGAUCAGUGGCGAACGGGUGAGUAACACGUGGGCAAUCUGCCCUGCACUCUGGGACAAGCCCUGGAAACGGGGUCUAAUACCGGAUAUGACCUUCCUCCGCAUGGGGGUUGGUGUAAAGCACCGGCGGUGCAGGAUGAGCCCGCGGCCUAUCAGCUUGUUGGUGGGGUAAUGGCCUACCAAGGCGACGACGGGUAGCCGGCCUGAGAGGGCGACCGGCCACACUGGGACUGAGACACGGCCCAGACUCCUACGGGAGGCAGCAGUGGGGAAUAUUGCACAAUGGGCGAAAGCCUGAUGCAGCGACGCCGCGUGAGGGAUGACGGCCUUCGGGUUGUAAACCUCUUUCAGCAGGGAAGAAGCGCAAGUGACGGUACCUGCAGAAGAAGCACCGGCUAACUACGUGCCAGC
This 497-nucleotide ribosomal RNA is filed under the name uncultured Streptomycetaceae bacterium. RNAcentral describes it as "bacterial SSU rRNA". It matches the Rfam family "Bacterial small subunit ribosomal RNA", at positions 1 to 512 of the family's 1533-position model. The record is from RNAcentral. Lineage: Bacteria; Bacillati; Actinomycetota; Actinomycetes; Kitasatosporales; Streptomycetaceae.